UACGUAGGGGGCUAGCGUUGUCCGGAUUUAUUGGGCGUAAAGAGCGUGUAGGCGGCCAGGUAGGUCCGGUGUGAAAACUCGAGGCUCAACCUCGAGACGUCGGCGGAAACCAUCUGGCUAGAGUCCGGAAGAGGAGAGUGGAAUUCCUGGUGUAGCGGUGAAAUGCGCAGAUAUCAGGAAGAACACCCGUGGCGAAGGCGGCUCUCUGGGACGGUACUGACGCUGAGACGCGAAAGCGUGGGGAGCGAACAGG
This 253-nucleotide ribosomal RNA is filed under the name uncultured bacterium. RNAcentral's name for it is "partial 16S ribosomal RNA". It matches the Rfam family "Bacterial small subunit ribosomal RNA", at positions 524 to 776 of the family's 1533-position model. The record is from RNAcentral.